GACGAACGCUGGCGGCGUGCCUAAUACAUACAAGUCGAGCGGACCUCUUCGGAGGUUAGCGGCGGACGGGUGAGUAACACGUGGGCAACCUGCCUGUAAGACUGGGAUAACUUCGGGAAACCGGAGCUAAUACCGGAUAAUCCUUUCCCUCUCAUGAGGGAAAGCUGAAAGACGGUUUCGGCUGUCACUUACAGAUGGGCCCGCGGCGCAUUAGCUAGUUGGUGAGGUAACGGCUCACCAAGGCGCCGAUGCGUAGCCGACCUGAGAGGGUGAUCGGCCACACUGGGACUGAGACACGGCCCAGACUCCUACGGGAGGCAGCAGUAGGGAAUCUUCCGCAAUGGACGAAAGUCUGACGGAGCAACGCCGCGUGAGCGAAGAAGGCCUUCGGGUCGUAAAGCUCUGUUGUCAGGGAAGAACAAGUAUCGGAGUAACUGCCGGUACCUUGACGGUACCUGACCAGAAAGCCACGGCUAACUACGUGCCAGCAGCCGCGGUAA
This 500-nucleotide ribosomal RNA is filed under the name uncultured bacterium. RNAcentral describes it as "partial 16S ribosomal RNA". It matches the Rfam family "Bacterial small subunit ribosomal RNA", at positions 28 to 523 of the family's 1533-position model. The record is from RNAcentral.